This 497-nucleotide ribosomal RNA is filed under the name uncultured bacterium. RNAcentral describes it as "partial 16S ribosomal RNA". It matches the Rfam family "Bacterial small subunit ribosomal RNA", at positions 28 to 507 of the family's 1533-position model. The record is from RNAcentral.
GAUGAACGCUGGCGGCGUGCCUAAUACAUGCAAGUCGAGCGAACAGACGAGGAGCUUGCUCCUUUGACGUUAGCGGCGGACGGGUGAGUAACACGUGGGUAACCUACCUAUAAGACUGGGAUAACUUCGGGAAACCGGAGCUAAUACCGGAUAAUAUUUCGAACCGCAUGGUUCGAUAGUGAAAGAUGGCUUUGCUAUCACUUAUAGAUGGACCUGCGCCGUAUUAGCUAGUUGGUAAGGUAACGGCUUACCAAGGCAACGAUACGUAGCCGACCUGAGAGGGUGAUCGGCCACACUGGAACUGAGACACGGUCCAGUCUCCUACGGGAGGCAGCAGUAGGGAAUCUUCCGCAAAGGGCGAAAGCCUGACGGAGCAACGCCGCGUGAGUGAUGAAGGUCUUCGGAUCGUAAAACUCUGUUAUUAGGGAAGAACAAACGUGUAAGUAACUGUGCACGUCUUGACGGUACCUAAUCAGAAAGCCACGGCUAACUACGUG